GGUCAGAGCACGGAGGUUUUGAAGCAGAGAGACUUUGGAGUUCUGUUUUGAGUCGGGGGAACGUUCGCAAAGAGUUUUUGGAAGAUUAGCUAAGGAGAAAACCAUGGCGAGGAUGUUCGUGUGGAGGCAGCUUUGGAAGGAGGUGACCAAUUAAUAAUUGGAAAUUUGGGGAUUCUCGUGCAGGUCGUUUUACACAUUUCAGUUUCCUCAAGGGACAUUUUGGUAUAUGCAAUAUCAAACAAACUACUAGGCUAGUUAUGGCCGAUCGUUCAACUUACAUUUCUAGAGAGAUUCUUUCAACAGUUCCUGAUCCUGGUGCUAUGGCUGAAGCGACUUGGUUCAGAGUUGCGACCUUAGCUGUGAAGGAAAAACAUGAGAGCUAAGCCUCGACAUACAUAACUCUUCUUACAAUCUCCUUCUGUUUGUGCAGAUAUAGCCAAGUUUUGUUAUGAAUUUUGUACUCUUGUAACCAACCAUUUAGGCUUUCCGCUUAUGUCUGUGCCUUUUUUCGCAUAAAACUGAGAGAGUCAUUGUCAGUCAGUCACUCAACUUUAUACACGCCAAAUUUUAAAGUGGAUGUAAAUUUUACACUUUCUCAUUAUACAAU
This 607-nucleotide small RNA is filed under the name Vigna angularis var. angularis. RNAcentral's name for it is "Non-protein coding transcript". The record is from RNAcentral. Lineage: Eukaryota; Viridiplantae; Streptophyta; Magnoliopsida; Fabales; Fabaceae.